CAGCAGCCGCGGUAAUACAGAGGGUGCGAGCGUUAAUCGGAUUUACUGGGCGUAAAGCGUGCGUAGGAGGCUUCUUAAGUCGGAUGUGAAAUCCCUGAGCUUAACUUAGGAAUUGCAUUCGAUACUGGGAAGCUAGAGUAUGGGAGAGGAUGGUAGAAUUCCAGGUGUAGCGGUGAAAUGCGUAGAGAUCUGGAGGAAUACCGAUGGCGAAGGCAGCCAUCUGGCCUAAUACUGACGCUGAGGUACGAAAGCAUGGGGAGCAAACAGGAUUAGAUACCCCCGUGUCCCUGUCUCUUAUACA
Molecule: ribosomal RNA, 301 nt
Filed under: uncultured bacterium
Lineage: Bacteria
Description: partial 16S ribosomal RNA
Rfam family: Bacterial small subunit ribosomal RNA
Source: RNAcentral